CGGAACGUCAAACCCACAUUCGGAGUCCGGACCUUCUCUCUCGUGCUCUCAGAGUCUCACCCACACGGAAACCCUAGCCUCCACUUGCCGAUAGUUCCGCUCCGUCGUCUUCAUUCUUGUGCGCCGAAUCGCCGAUCGAAUUCUUACCCAAGAAAGGAGGUACACCUAGGAAGAAUGAGAUCAUGUUUGUUGCUCCUACUGGAGAGGAGAUCAACAACAAAAAGCAACUGGAGCAGUACCUAAAAUCACACCCUGGAGCAGUCCAAUUGAUUGGCUUGAUAACCUAUUAUGUUGGAUUUUGUAUUUUGUAAUGUAAUCUAAUAUCUAGUGGAUUGUAUGCAUUUUAGUUUUUUAUUUUUAUAUAUUUUAUUAUUCUGGACAA
Molecule: long non-coding RNA, 382 nt
Organism: Carya illinoinensis
Lineage: Eukaryota; Viridiplantae; Streptophyta; Magnoliopsida; Fagales; Juglandaceae
Exons: 2
Source: RefSeq, a predicted model, not a curated record